Molecule: ribosomal RNA, 1164 nt
Filed under: uncultured Halomonas sp.
Lineage: Bacteria; Pseudomonadati; Pseudomonadota; Gammaproteobacteria; Oceanospirillales; Halomonadaceae
Description: bacterial SSU rRNA
Rfam family: Bacterial small subunit ribosomal RNA
Source: RNAcentral
GAAAGGGGGCUUCGGCUCCCGCUAUCGGAUGAGCCUAUGUCGGAUUAGCUGGUUGGUGAGGUAAAGGCUCACCAAGGCGACGAUCCGUAGCUGGUCUGAGAGGAUGAUCAGCCACAUCGGGACUGAGACACGGCCCGAACUCCUACGGGAGGCAGCAGUGGGGAAUAUUGGACAAUGGGGGGAACCCUGAUCCAGCCAUGCCGCGUGUGUGAAGAAGGCCCUCGGGUUGUAAAGCACUUUCAGUGAGGAAGAACGCCUGGUGGUUAAUACCCAUCAGGAAAGACAUCACUCACAGAAGAAGCACCGGCUAACUCCGUGCCAGCAGCCGCGGUAAUACGGAGGGUGCGAGCGUUAAUCGGAAUUACUGGGCGUAAAGCGCGCGUAGGUGGCUUGAUAAGCCGGUUGUGAAAGCCCCGGGCUCAACCUGGGAACGGCAUCCGGAACUGUCAAGCUAGAGUGCAGGAGAGGAAGGUAGAAUUCCCGGUGUAGCGGUGAAAUGCGUAGAGAUCGGGAGGAAUACCAGUGGCGAAGGCGGCCUUCUGGACUGACACUGACACUGAGGUGCGAAAGCGUGGGUAGCAAACAGGAUUAGAUACCCUGGUAGUCCACGCCGUAAACGAUGUCGACCAGCCGUUGGGUGCCUAGCGCACUUUGUGGCGAAGUUAACGCGAUAAGUCGACCGCCUGGGGAGUACGGCCGCAAGGUUAAAACUCAAAUGAAUUGACGGGGGCCCGCACAAGCGGUGGAGCAUGUGGUUUAAUUCGAUGCAACGCGAAGAACCUUACCUACUCUUGACAUCCUGCGAAUUCGGUAGAGAUACCUUAGUGCCUUCGGGAACGCAGAGACAGGUGCUGCAUGGCUGUCGUCAGCUCGUGUUGUGAAAUGUUGGGUUAAGUCCCGUAACGAGCGCAACCCUUGUCCUUAUUUGCCAGCGCGUAAUGGCGGGAACUCUAAGGAGACUGCCGGUGACAAACCGGAGGAAGGUGGGGACGACGUCAAGUCAUCAUGGCCCUUACGAGUAGGGCUACACACGUGCUACAAUGGUCGGUACAAAGGGUUGCCAACUCGCGAGAGUGAGCCAAUCCCGAAAAGCCGAUCUCAGUCCGGAUCGGAGUCUGCAACUCGACUCCGUGAAGUCGGAAUCGCUAGUAAUCGUGGAUCAGA